UACAGAGGGGGCAAGCGUUGUUCGGAAUUACUGGGCGUAAAGGGCGCGUAGGCGGCCUUCUAAGUCGAACGUGAAAUCCCCGGGCUCAACCCGGGAACUGCGUCCGAUACUGGAAGGCUUGAGUUCGGGAGAGGGAUGCGGAAUUCCAGGUGUAGCGGUGAAAUGCGUAGAUAUCUGGAGGAACACCGGUGGCGAAGGCGGCAUCCUGGACCGGCAUUGACGCUGAGGCGCGAAAGCCAGGGGAGCAAACGGG
RNAcentral lists this ribosomal RNA (253 nucleotides) under uncultured bacterium. RNAcentral describes it as "partial 16S ribosomal RNA". It matches the Rfam family "Bacterial small subunit ribosomal RNA", at positions 524 to 776 of the family's 1533-position model. The record is from RNAcentral.